Molecule: ribosomal RNA, 569 nt
Filed under: uncultured fungus
Lineage: Eukaryota; Fungi
Description: eukaryotic LSU rRNA
Rfam family: 5.8S ribosomal RNA (bases 208-361)
Source: RNAcentral
CGUAACAAGGUCUCCGUAGGUGAACCUGCAGAGGGAUCAUUACACAAAUAUGAAGGCGGGCUGGAACCUCUCGGGGUUACAGCCUUGCUGAAUUAUUCACCCUUGUCUUUUGCGUACUUCUUGUUUCCUUGGUGGGUUCGCCCACCACUAGGACAAACAUAAACCUUUUGUAAUUGCAAUCAGCGUCAGUAACAAAUUAAUAAUUACAACUUUCAACAACGGAUCUCUUGGUUCUGGCAUCGAUGAAGAACGCAGCGAAAUGCGAUAAGUAGUGUGAAUUGCAGAAUUCAGUGAAUCAUCGAAUCUUUGAACGCACAUUGCGCCCUUUGGUAUUCCAAAGGGCAUGCCUGUUCGAGCGUCAUUUGUACCCUCAAGCUUUGCUUGGUGUUGGGCGUCUUGUCUCUAGCUUUGCUGGAGACUCGCCUUAAAGUAAUUGGCAGCCGGCCUACUGGUUUCGGAGCGCAGCACAAGUCGCACUCUCUAUCAGCAAAGGUCUAGCAUCCAUUAAGCCUUUUUUUCAACUUUUGACCUCGGAUCAGGUAGGGAUACCCGCUGAACUUAAGCAUAUC